UAGGAAUAGGCCUGGUUCGUGAGUCUCCCU
This 30-nucleotide non-coding RNA is filed under the name Rattus norvegicus (Norway rat). The record is from RNAcentral. Lineage: Eukaryota; Metazoa; Chordata; Mammalia; Rodentia; Muridae.